Dipodomys ordii (Ord's kangaroo rat) is the source of this 72-nucleotide non-coding RNA. The record is from Rfam. NCBI's taxonomy places the organism in Eukaryota, Metazoa, Chordata, Mammalia, Rodentia, Heteromyidae.
UGGGAUGUAGCUCAGUGGCAAAGCGCUUGCCUAGCAAGUGCAACAUCCUGGGUUCGAUCCCCAGUAUCAAAA